This 254-nucleotide ribosomal RNA is filed under the name uncultured bacterium. RNAcentral's name for it is "partial 16S ribosomal RNA". It matches the Rfam family "Bacterial small subunit ribosomal RNA", at positions 524 to 776 of the family's 1533-position model. The record is from RNAcentral.
CACGUAGGCACCAAGCGUUGUCCGGAUUUAUUGGGCGUAAAGAGCUCGUAGGCGGUUCAGUAAGUCGGGUGUGAAAACUCUGGGCUCAACCCAGAGACGCCACCCGAUACUGCUGUGACUUGAGUACGGUAGGGGAGUGGGGAAUUCCUGGUGUAGCGGUGAAAUGCGCAGAUAUCAGGAGGAACACCGGUGGCGAAGGCGGUUCUCUGGGCAUGACCUGACGCUGAGGAGCGAAAGUGUGGGGAGCGAACAGG